Molecule: ribosomal RNA, 420 nt
Filed under: uncultured bacterium
Lineage: Bacteria
Description: bacterial SSU rRNA
Rfam family: Bacterial small subunit ribosomal RNA
Source: RNAcentral
GGGGAAUUUUGGACAAUGGGGGCAACCCUGAUCCAGCAACGCCGCGUGAGGGAUGAAGGUCUUCGGAUUGUAAACCUCUUUUGUGAGGGAAGAACUGUCACGUGAAGAACGUGAUUUGACGGUACUUCAUGAAUAAGCCACGGCUAACUUCGUGCCAGCAGCCGCGGUAAUACGAAGGUGGCAAGCGUUACUCGGAAUUACUAGGCGUAAAGCGCAGGUAGGUGGUUGGAUAAGUCUGUUAUGAAAUCUCCCGGCUUAACUGGGAGCGGUUAAUGGAUACUGUCCGGCUCGAGUGUGGGAGAGGUAACUGGAAUUCCAGGUGUGGCGGUGAAAUGCGUAGAUAUCUGGAGGAACACCAAUGGCGAAAGCAGGUUACUGGCCCAAUACUGACACUGAGCUGCGAAAGCUAGGGGAGCAAAC